AUUAGGAAUCUUGUACAAUGGGGGCAACCCUGAUACAGCGACGCCGCGUGAGGGAGGAAGGCCUUCGGGUUGUAAACCUCUUUUAACCGGGAAGAAACAAAUGACGGUACCGGUGGAAUAAGCCCCGGCUAACUCCGUGCCAGCAGCCGCGGUAAUACGGAGGGGGCGAGCGUUGUCCGAAGUUACUGGGCGUAAAGCGCGCGUAGGCGGGUUGGCAAGUCCGCUGUGAAAGCCCGGUGCUUAACGCCGGAGGGUCGGUGGAUACUGCCAGUCUUGAAGGUGCUAGGGGAAGAUGGAAUUACCAGUGUAGCGGUGAAAUGCGUAGAUAUUGGUAGGAACACCAGUGGCGAAGGCGGUCUUCUGGAGCACUCUUGACGCUGAGGCGCGAAAGCUGGGGGAGCGAACGGG
RNAcentral lists this ribosomal RNA (408 nucleotides) under uncultured Chthonomonas sp. RNAcentral describes it as "bacterial SSU rRNA". It matches the Rfam family "Bacterial small subunit ribosomal RNA", at positions 354 to 776 of the family's 1533-position model. The record is from RNAcentral. Lineage: Bacteria; Bacillati; Armatimonadota; Chthonomonadia; Chthonomonadales; Chthonomonadaceae.